GCUCUGAAACUGGACGUCCCACCUCUCCAGGUGUUUUUAUUGCUUUUGAAAAUGUCAGCUAUCCAGGAAGGCUGUGGCACAUUGUACCAUUGUACUGAAUGAUCUCGUUACUCUGAGCCCUUCAGGGGGGAAUGGCCUGCCAAGAUCACAGUCUUUGUGCAAAAUGCCUCAUGAGAAAUGAUGGAAACAGCCAAAGGGAUUUGACUGACCCUGCAGUGACUCCUUAACCCUGGAGCAUCAGCCUGAAUCCAUGCCUGAGCAGAGUAAUUCCUUAUCCCAGCUGCUUUCCUUGUCCCACAGGAUGGGCUCCUGACACUGAGAAAUAGCUCCCAGAUCAGUGGUCUUUCAGUUGUUUCAUUCUUGAGUUUUUUGGUUUUGAAUAUGGGCCCAAGGGUCUUUGGCCAGUGGGUAUCAUUCCAAUGGUUCUGAUGGGUAAUGACAAAUAAAACAAAUGGUGGGUAUUAUGUAACAGCUGACUGGCUCUGAAUGGUUUUGGCUAUGGUUCUGGAAAAGAAUGCAGGAGGGAUGUGGUCAACAUACAGGAAUGAAAUUGGAAUGAAGCCAUUCUGCAGUCCUUUGGAUAUCAGUCUUUCAGUAGGAGGUUAAGUAGGACAGCACUGGGACCAAUUCAGUGCCCCUCCCCUAGCCUCCCUGCCUCUAUGGCAAUGCUGAAGAAACCCUUAGACUUUCUUGCUUCUUUCUUGCAGGACCUCUGCUCAUCCCUAUCCAUUGACACCCAUGGUCUCCAUGGCGUUAUCUUCCUUGAGAUUCUCUGGGAUAAUCUUACUGUGGCCUUCAGCUCUGUGUGGCCCUGGUGACAGAACUGCUGGCGAAAUAACUGCCCUCUCUCCACACACAGCCUCCCUCAACUCAUCAAAGCAGCAAGACUUACGCAAGCCUCCCUUGACAACAGAACUUCUGUCCCAUCAGCCUCCUUAUCAAAUCUGUCCUGCAGCCCCCUCAGACCUGAGCGAAUACACCUGUUUUCCAGAUAAGUUCUCACCAUGGGAUCAAGGCAAUGGUGCACAGAACAAAACAGGCUGAACCUCUCCAAAUUGUUGGGACUCAUGCCAAUUCUUUGAGAGGUCACAACAAUCAAAUCCAACAGAAUUUAGACUCGCUACGGCCUAAACAAAAAUUCUUUAGUCCCUGUGGAACAGGAAAACUUAGGGGACACCUAAGAAAACUUUGCACAAACAUUACAGUGGCUUUUUAGAAUAACAAAGAUGAAAUUCUAUUUUCUCCCCAAUCCCCCCACCUCUAUUUGUUGCCUUGGAAACCUCACAUACUCUCAGAGACACAACCUGACCACAUCUCAGUCUAUUGAAAAAAUUACAACCCAGAUGAUAAACUUUUUCUCUGAUUACCAAAACAGGCUCAACUUCUGUAACCCAACAUGAUGUUGAACUUUCUUGCUUUCUUCAGUGAAUCUGCCCCAACAUCUAGCAGUAAUAAUGACACAAAAUAGGCAUUCAAAAAUGUACAUAUGACUUAUGCACAGUUUUGUUGACAAAUUCCAAAUACUUAAUGAAAUGUAGAUAAGUGCAUCAUUAAAUGCAUCAAAGUAAUUGAUAGAAUAAUGGAAGAAUUGCUCAACAGAUUUCUCAUUAUUUAAUAUUAUCCUUGUUGCUGUUACUUUUGCCAGUUUCUUAAGGUGCUAAAGGCAAGUAGGGUACUGCAGUUACUUUAAGUGUGUAUUUCAGCAUUCUGUUCCCCUUCUUCCAAACUGCUGUAAUCCUAACUUUUCAAGAAGUACUUUGUUGAAAAAUAAUUUCUGUCAUUGUAUCCCAUUUAAAAAGAGUAAUGUUUGUGUCACCCAGCUUUUCAGUUGUAAGCAACAGAAACUGCUUCUAGCUAAUUUAAGCAGAAAAGGAAUUUAUGAAAGGAUAAUAGUAGCUCGCAGAACCUUGGGUUGGGCCAGAGAAUCAGCCAAGCAUGAUGCUCACAAAGCCACAGUAAACCUCUCCCUCAAAGAGACCAUGGUCCCUGGAAUCGAGCCCACAUGCUGCAGACUGUACAGCUAACAUCUCUGCUGCACGUUGGACACUGCUGCCAAAACAGCCACCACUGCAGCCUCCGGAGAAAGAUGGGAGAUGUCAUCACUGUGGCCACCUUUGCCAGGACGUGUUGUGAGUGGUCUUGCUCCUUUGUGUCACCAGUUUCCAAUUCUAAAUCCAGGGCAGAAACAAAACUGAGAUUCAGAUCUUAGUUACAAAGGUGCUAGGAAAGUAGGUAUCUAAGCAUAUUUGCUCUGUGAGUGGAAGGUGUCUGUCUCCUAAUGUCAGAUGCUGGGGCCAUGAAUAUCCUCUACAAGACUGUUUUGUUAUUACUCUCUCAAGGAAUAGGAGAUUGAAAAAUAUAUCUAAUGUACAGCUGCUAAGCACCAUUAAAUGUUGUCUCUGUAACAGUGACACAGAAAAUAAGUGAAACUUAGAAUGUGUAUACAGGCAAGUAUUGGGGACAGUCAUGUAUAGAAAUGAAUAGGUGGACAUCAGGGAGGCUGUGAAAGCUCUGAAAGUUCAUAUUAAAUUAUGUGUAUUUUAAAGAUGUCUGUUGUGCAAAGAGCUUCAGAUCCUAGAUCUAGAUUCUAGUCUAACGCAUACAUAGAAUAGGCUAAUAAGCUAAGUGUCAGAGAGUAGCUUAUUCAAAGAGGCACAACGUACCCUCGUAGAGGAAGGCCUAGAACUCACACCUCUGAAGUUUGUCUACUGCACAUCUGAGUACAAGGCAUACUUUAAGGAUGUGUUUGUCUUAGAACAACAAUGCCAAUUUGAACCAAAAUUACUACAUGUUUAACGUAAAUGCAGAAGCCUAUUCCAGGCUUCGAUUUUAGCUUUGCUUUUCAUUAGGUUGUCUUGUAUUGAUACGAAUCUUACUUGCUUUCCUUAUGUCGCUUAGCAGUGACGUAGACACAUCAUCUCAAAGAAAGAAGGAGGUGAAUCCAGCCAGAAGUCAGAAACCCCUAGGUAAGGCCACCCCAGCAAAGCUGGCCAUGUGCAGGCUCCUAAAGGGCUCUCCUGGUUGAGACUGUGUGCACAGCUAUACAGGUCUUAUUUAGAAGACUUUGCUUUUUGUGCUGAAACCACCUCACCUCUCACAGCAAAUGGAUUACCAAUGAGAUUGCUAAUUGCAUUGUCUUGUCAUUUAUCCAGUACUCCAGGUGUUAUGAACUCAAAUGUCUAUUGGGGGUCAAACAGGUAACGUAAGUGAAGCUCUCUAAGGUAAGACAGUUGAAAGUGGAGGGAAACUAUAGUAAAGUGAAGGAGGCUUCUAGAAAAAAUAGAUGCCUACUUUACUUUUUACACCAAGAUAAAUUCGGGGAAUCAAUUUAAUCAAUAUAUAUAAUCGAUCAAUUAUUAUCUAUCAAAGUAACAGCUAAGUGUUCUUUAAGACUUAAGAAAUGGAGAUAUCCACAAGUAGUUGAAGCUAUGUUACAUUUUCUUACUGAGAUACAUGUAAAAGGAUUGGCUGCCAUACUCCAAACAGUCCAACAGAAGUCAGGAAAAACAUCCAGCCCCUUAGAAUAGAUGAAACAAAUUUCAAAGCAAUGAGGGUCAGGCAGGACCAUCAUUAAGGCAUGAUGUCAUGAUUUUAUUGGAAUUUGCUUUCUUAGUGAACACAAAAUGAUGGUGCAUCUUGCAAUUGAUGGUGUCUUAGAAAUACUGCAUACUUAUUUGUAGUUUGUGGUCCUUUGAAAGGACCCAUAAAAAUGGUUGUAGCGAUUGCAUCUGGGGAAUUGGGGAACAGUGUAUUUAUACCAUUUCAUAACUUUCAGAUUUUAUACCAAACACAAGGAUCAUCUAUUCAAAAAUCUGUACAAGUAAUAAUAAUAAAAAGAAAAUGGUGGCUUUUCAUGUGC
This is a long non-coding RNA of Callithrix jacchus (white-tufted-ear marmoset), 3859 nucleotides long. The record is from Ensembl. NCBI's taxonomy places the organism in Eukaryota, Metazoa, Chordata, Mammalia, Primates, Cebidae.